RNAcentral lists this long non-coding RNA (483 nucleotides) under Homo sapiens (human). RNAcentral's name for it is "long non-coding RNA NONHSAT028778.2". Lineage: Eukaryota; Metazoa; Chordata; Mammalia; Primates; Hominidae. The record is from RNAcentral.
AGAUGGGUGCCCCCAUCCGCACACUGUCCUUUGGCCACCGGACAUCAUGCCUCCCAAGAAGGAUGUUCCCGUGAAGAAACCAGCAGGGCCCUCCAUCUCCAAACCUGCUGCUAAGCCAGCAGCAGCAGGGGCUCCUCCAGCCAAGACCAAAGCUGAGCCAGCUGUCCCCCAGGCCCCUCAGAAAACCCAGGAGCCUCCAGUCGAUCUCUCCAAAGUGGUGAUCGAGUUUAACAAGGACCAGCUGGAGGCCUUCUUGAAACACAUCCUAAGCGUCUGAGUGCUGCAGGUAGGGCCCUCCCACCCCUUCGCCGCGCCUUACGAGGCAAGUCUCCCGCCCUUCUCUCAGCCAACAUAGAAAAGCAGCGGAGUUCAUUCUGCUGUCCGGUUGCUGCACGGGCUCCAGCGCUUCGCAACUUUGGUUUUUUUCCACAGAUCCAGUGGGGUCCGGACACUGGGCCCCGCAGGCGAAAGCACGUUCCAGCC